Molecule: small RNA, 2131 nt
Filed under: Oryza sativa Japonica Group (Japanese rice)
Lineage: Eukaryota; Viridiplantae; Streptophyta; Magnoliopsida; Poales; Poaceae
Description: sRNA Os01g0115752
Source: RNAcentral
GCAUUUUACAAGCAAGCUACUAGCUGAUUUGGCAUCAAAACAUGCACAAGUUUCACUCAUCCUCCUCUAAGAUUUCACUUAGCUCGGAGGAGAAUUGGUGAGAAUUCACCGCAAGUGACACGGGUUCAUCAUCACAGAAGAAUGGUCUUGGAGGCAUCUGCAGGCCAACAACGCCACCUUCAAGCAUCUCUAUGACCUCGCUCAUCGUCGGCCGAUCGUGAGAUUUCAUCUGGAUGCAAUGCAGCCCGAUUAUGCACAGCUUCCUCUCAAGCUCAUGCAUGUUAGCAACAGUACCAGCAGGUAUCUCACCAACACCUACUUGCUGCUCAGUUAGUUGGUCAUACACCCAAGAUGGGAAGUAGGUCUGAUUUGAGUUCUCUGCAUACAUGUCUGAGUUUCUUCUUCCUCCAGCCAUCUCCAGUAGCAACAUUCCAAAGCUAUAGACAUCGGAUUUGCUCGAUAUGAUUCCGAAGCUUCGAGAUAUCAUUUCAGGAGCAAUAUAACCUAUUGUUCCCCGUAAAGCACUGAGCGGCACAAAACUUUGGUCCCUGGGGCACAAUUUGGCAAGGCCGAAAUCAGCAACCUUUGGAACAAAGUUGACAUCAAGAAGGAUAUUGUGUGGCUUGAUGUCAAAGUGGAGUAUCUGCAUAUCGCAACCCUGAUGAAGGUAGUUGAUCCCCCUAGCAAUGCCCAAAGCAAUUUCAUUGAGCUUAUCCCAUGAGAAACUUCUUUCAGAUGAGAAAAUGUACUUGUCCAACGAUCCCCGUGGCAUGUACUCAUAGACAAGCGCCCUCCUUAUUUCCUCUGAACAAAAACCAACAAGAUGAACUACAUUGAUGUGGUGGAUCCUACCGAUGGUGGAGACCUCACUGAUAAACUCUUCGCCAUUGCAGUUAGAGUUUCCUAGCACCUUCACAGCCACGUGAGCAUUGCCUGGAAGGAGAACACCUUUGUAUACAGAGCCAUAACCUCCUUGGCCGAGCUUCUCCCUGAAGUGACCUGUGAUUGCAAUGAGGUCAGUGUAGGCAUACCUUGUUGGACCAUUCAUUAAUUGCAUCCGGAGGAACUUCUCUACUGCAUCAGUUGUUAUCCUUAUCUUCCAGUAAUUGCGUGCUAAGAAGGUUAAUAUCACCAGGGGCACCAAAAUGAACCUGCAAAAUACUGCAUAAAAAAUAACUUUAUAUUUAACACAUACUUGUAGAAAAUCCUGAAAGACGUUGGUCGUUCCUCUUGGACGAUAUUUCUGCAGAGACAAUAUAAUGUAAAGCGUAAAAAAAACAAUAUAAUGUAAAAUGAACUUAAGAUGCCCCCGAGCAGUUUCUGAGCAGAUAAGCAAGAGAAAUCCAUGCAUAUAUAAAAAAUCGACUAAAAGAGAAAUAAUGAAACCACAUGCAGGAUGUCGCAAACUCACUGGAAUGACUGUGCUAUGCACUGUUUGAUUUUGGAGGAGUAGACAUAAAAACGACUUGUGUAUGGAAACCGAAUGGCAAAUCCACCUCUCAUUAGUUUGACAACAUCGGCGUAGCUUGCAUUCUCUAGCACCAGUGGGCGGUCGCCGGCACCCAGAGGAGUCAUGGCCAGGUACCCACAGGAAGGCUCGAGACUCCCAAUAGAAUCAGAGUUCAUGCCAGUUAGCACGUAGACGAAGGAGCUGUUGGUGCUCAUGCAAGCAACAGGCCUGUACUUGCCAUUGCUCUUCAGUAUUUCCUGCGAACAUGUCACAAAAGUAGCUGUAGUGCUCUGAUAAGGUGGCAUCAGUUCAGCUUGGAUGCUGCGGCGGCGGGAGUCUUCUCCAUGCCGCUCGUAUAACAUUUGGUCGUAGUAACCGAAAUCGCGAUUCCAGCGAGGAAGAGGGCAAUUGUUACGUGAAUCCGAGAUGUUGGCGUCGAUGACCCAGAAGGUAGAAUCCUUGUACUUGAUGUCCAUCACAAGGUAUGUCCCGUUGUCGAUCUGAAUCGUAGCCGGCUUGUCGUCGGUGCAGGUCAGCUCGUAGGACGCAACGCCGCACUCCGGCGGGUCACCUCGCCGGCGGAACGGGGGCGACACGUCGCUGAGAUGGCCGCAUGAGAACGGAGCGCAGCCAUGCCGAUGAUGCCGUCCAGCUGCAUGUGGGACAAGAACUGCAAACACA